This 162-nucleotide ribosomal RNA is filed under the name Borneocola reticosus. RNAcentral's name for it is "5.8S ribosomal RNA". It matches the Rfam family "5.8S ribosomal RNA". Rfam says of the family: 5.8S ribosomal RNA (5.8S rRNA) is a component of the large subunit of the eukaryotic ribosome. It is transcribed by RNA polymerase I as part of the 45S precursor that also contains 18S and 28S rRNA. Functionally, it is thought that 5.8S rRNA may be involved in ribosome translocation. Lineage: Eukaryota; Viridiplantae; Streptophyta; Magnoliopsida; Zingiberales; Zingiberaceae. The record is from RNAcentral.
CAAAUGACUCUCGGCAAUGGAUAUCUCGGCUCUUGCAUCGAUGAAGAACGUAGUGAAAUGCGAUACUUGGUGUGAAUUGCAGAAUCUCGUGAACCAUUGAGUCUUUGAACGCAAGUUGUGCCCGAGGCCUCGUGUCGAGGGCACGCCUGCUUGGGGGUCAUG